GUUUUCUUUGUUUGUACAUAUACUAAAAUUGGAAUGAUACAAAGAAUAGCCUGGUCCCUAUGCAAGGGUGAUAUGCACAUUUGUGGUUCAUUUCAUGUUUUG
Grammomys surdaster is the source of this 102-nucleotide small nuclear RNA. The record is from RefSeq and is a predicted model, not a curated record. NCBI's taxonomy places the organism in Eukaryota, Metazoa, Chordata, Mammalia, Rodentia, Muridae.